This 253-nucleotide ribosomal RNA is filed under the name uncultured bacterium. RNAcentral describes it as "partial 16S ribosomal RNA". It matches the Rfam family "Bacterial small subunit ribosomal RNA", at positions 524 to 776 of the family's 1533-position model. The record is from RNAcentral.
UACGUAGGGGGCAAGCGUUGUCCGGAUUUAUUGGGCGUAAAGAGCGUGUAGGCGGCCAUGUAGGUCCGUUGUGAAAACUCGAGGCUCAACCUCGAGACGCCGAUGGAAGCCAUGUGGCUAGAGUCCGGAAGAGGAGAGUGGAAUUCCCGGUGUAGCGGUGAAAUGCGCAGAUAUCGGGAAGAACACCCGUGGCUAAGGCGGCUCUCUAGUACGGUACUGACGCUGAGACGCGAAAGCGUGGGGAGCGAACAGG